This 6058-nucleotide long non-coding RNA is filed under the name Salvia miltiorrhiza (redroot sage). RNAcentral describes it as "long non-coding RNA (SMIL_LNC007916)". Lineage: Eukaryota; Viridiplantae; Streptophyta; Magnoliopsida; Lamiales; Lamiaceae. The record is from RNAcentral.
GGUAGCGCUAUUCAAUGAACUGCUCUUAGUCUAUAAUAUAAGACUAUAUUAUGACCGUAGAUCAUAUGUAAUCAACGGCUGUAAUCUCAUUUUUUGUGGGUUUUUAGUUCAUUAAAUAAUUGAAAAAAAUUCGUACGCAUUUUUGACUGAAGGGUAUUAUUGGCAUAUGUUGUUCACCUUCCAUAUCUACGCAUAUUCAGUUCCGAUUUUCACUCCAAUACCUUUCAUAUCUACGCCUAUUCAGUUCCGAUUUUCACUCCAAUUAAAUCUUCAAACAAAGAGGCGACGCAAUGAUUCUGGCGGUCGGCGUAGAUGGAAGAAGGUUGUUGUCGCACGUCCUGGUGGAGGGUGGCGCGGUGGUUCUAAAUCGCGUACUGACGACGCGCGGGGUGGCGUCUAGACGACGCGGCAAUUGCAGGUGUGGAUGGCGGUGGACUGGCGUGAGCUGUGAUGGUGGUGGCGCUACCGAUCACCGUCUAGAUCUUGCGGCGACGCUGUGUGCAGGAGCAGUGCACGAUGAGGAGGAGGCGGCGCACGGCGUUCAACCAUUCGCUGCCCCCGUGUUCUACCCCGACGACACUUCAGACCCGCCCCCAAUCCCCAACUUGGUCGUACGGAUCCCCACACAAAGGUCCCCAUUUUCAGCCCUCAAGAACACGCUGGAAUCCUCACCACAAGUUUCUUCUGGUUCACAAAACAUGGUCUCUGCAUAAUACUUGAUUGCAUGAAUUAUUUAUGGUUUAUGUAUGAAUUAUUUGUAUAAACCAAACCUCCCCGUGCACAUACCUGAUUGCAUGAAUUUUUAACUAUUGCAUGAAUUAUAUUUAGCUUAUGUAUGAAUUAUUUGUAAUUAACGGCUGGGAUUACAUUUUAUGUGUAUUGUAUAGUUCUUUAAACAAAUGAAAAAAUUCAUAAGAAUUGCAGAGAUGAACGACCUCCAGCACAAUUUAGUUGGCAAGUUGGGAUUCGAAGAUGUUCUAGAUCUGGCCAUCCAAGAUCUCCUGGGUCGACUUAGCUACUGGGUUUUGGAUGCGUUCGAUAUCAGGCGUUGCGAUGUUAUUUUACCUAAUGGUCAGUCUCUUCCAGUGACCGGGGACGACGUUCAACGGGUACUAGGCUUUCCAAAGGGACCUAGAAGAAUUGAGUUGAUUAUAUUCGUACGUAAUUGAUAAAGUUGUUCAUAGAAUAGGUGCAAAAAAUUCAUCCAUGUAUUAUCAUGAUCAUAGGUGAUAUUGUAAUCAUGUAUAUAUAAUAAUAUUCAUACUUACUUGCUAAAGUUGUUCAUGUGAUAAGUGCAAAAAAUUCGUAGAUAUAAUAUUAUGAUAGUAUGUAAUAUGCCAAUCCAAAACAGUUCAUGCAAUCAGUUUAUCCCAAAACGUACAUAAGCUAAAACUAAUUCAUAUGAAUUAAAACUAUAUUUGUUGAAUGAAUUAUUUUUUAUUUAUGCAUGAAUUUUUAACGAAUCCAAUAACAAAGAAAAAAAUCUUUAACGAAUCCAAUAACAAUUAUCCUAAUAUAUAUAACAGUCCAAUACCAAAAUGGAAUAUGUCUAAAAUGUGAUGAAUUAUAAGUAUAAUCGUAUGAAUUUUUAUAAAAUAUUAAAGAAUAAUACAUAUAUUUAUUUAAUUCAAAAUAAUUCGUACAACUGAGAAGCAUCGUUCAUACUGAACUUAGUGCACCAUGCAAUACAAACAAUAGAUUAAAAUAAUUAAUAAAUAUAGAAAUUCAUUUGAUUGAGGAUGCAUUAAAACAUAAUGAUAAAAUGAAACGUUGACUAUUUAUUUUUAUUCUGCAGCCUUCCUUGAUUGUAUAAUUAAAUUCAUAUUUUUUUAUAUUAUGGAAUGUAAUAUAUUGCUUAAACAUAAUCCCUUCAUUUAAGGGAUAUAUUAUUAAAAUUCUGAAAUUACUUGUGUACCCUAUAAGCUAAUCUGGCGUUAAUUAGAUGAUAUGAUUUUAACAAGAUCUGUCCGUCCAAAAUUCAAAAUCUAAUGGCCUAGAAUUGUUCUUAUUUUAUAGGUCUAAGCUUGGUUUUAUUUUAGCGCAACCCUAUAUAUAUAUAUAUAUAUAUAUAUAUAAAAUUAAAAAUUGGGAGGAGGCUUUCAGCUAGGGGUGUAAUCGAGCCGAGUCGAGCCGAAUAGAGUCUUGCUCAAGCUUGACUCGUUUAGCGAACCGAACUAUUUGCUUAAUUAUCGACCGUGCUUUAAUCGAGUCGAAUACAGUGCCAAGCCUAAUCGAUCUUUUUAAAUUUAAAUUUUUAUUUAAAAUUUUAGUUAUUUUCCUAAUACAUAAGUUAUUUUAUUCACAAAAAUAUAAUAUAUUUACUAUUUUCUUGUAAAUAAAUGAUGUUGAUUAGAUACUUAAUUCAAAUAUUACUAAUUAUAGUAUAAAAUAUAGUAAGACAUUUAAUGAAUAAUCUUAUGUUUUUAAGAUAAAUCACUUAACGAGCCGAGUAUCGUCAUGCUCAAGCUUGGCUUGUUUAGCUAAAUGAGUUGUUCAUUAAAUUACCGAUCAAGCUUUUAUCUAGUCGAACGUCGAAUAGCUCAUGAGUAGCUUGGCUUGUUUAUAGUCCUAGCUUCAGCCCCCCGGAUCCGCCACUGCUUGUUUCCAUAAAUGGUAAAAUUUAACUCAUAAAAAAAUAUAGAUCCUAUCAUUUUUAACUAUUUUAUAUUUCUCCUUAUUUUACAUAUAAUAAAGUAAUUCGCCACUUUUAAUGAGACAACCAGAGUAUAUAUUAUAUAUCCUAAUCACCCCAAACAAAGCAGCAGUAAAUAUUGUGAAUUAAUAUGAAUACAAAGAGUAUAGGCAUAAAAUAACAACAAUAAUGACAACUGGCUUCCGUUUUUUAUUAAAGGGUUAAAGUACAUAUUCACCCCUGAAGUCCACACCCCUAGUGCGUUCCGCUCCCCACACUCGGCUCAGGCCCAAAUAACUCCCCAUAGCCCAUAAAAAUACUACACUUAAGCCCACCCGUUUGACGGCCCAAAGACGUCGUUUCUUAAAUAAUUUUUUUGUAUUUUAUUUUCGCGUAGGGCCCACCUUCCAACGGCUUCCAACGGUUCUUUAAUUAGAAAUUAGGGUUCAAAUAGUAUGAACCCUAACUUGCGAUUACAGGGGCGAUGAAUUGGCAGAAGUAGAAGAAAAUUUGUUAAAUUAGCUUAGGGUUUCUUUUGGAUAUAAGAAAUCAAGGUAAGAACAUGAGUUUGAACUCAGGAUUUGGGUCCUCAUCGUCACGUGGUCGAAGGCAGAUGGAUGCUGAGCAUGGGAGUAAUUACGUGUAUUGUCGUUGCGAGUUUGAAGGCAGGAGGCUUCAAGCUCCGAGAAUUACCUCAUGGACAGACGACAACCCCGGGAGAAGGUUCUACAGAUGUAGAAAUUGGAGAGUAUGUCAUUUCUUGUUUUACUUGGUUGUAGACGAGAAAUCUGUGGUUUUCUUAAAUUUCAUACUUUGUUGUUUUCUUUGUAGACGAAAAACAGUGGUUUUUUCGUCUGGUAUGAAGAGCCCAUGUGUGAGAGAGCUAGAGAAGUGAUAAAUUACUUGAAGAAUGAAAAUAUGAAGCUCUUAAGGAUCCAUCAAAGUUCGGCCUCUCCCCUGGAUGUGGAGUUGACAACCUUUGGAAUGUAAUGGAAGGCUUAAAGGAAGAAUCCAGGAAAGUUAGAAGGAAAAAUACAAUUGUUGUGAUGUUUUGAUUGUAUCUUGGUUGAUGAUAGGCUAUGUUGUUCUAGCAUGAAAUUGGCAAUAUUUGGAAUGUAAUGGAAGGCUUGGUAGGUUUUCAUUGUUUUUGUAUCUACUGUCUGCUCUACUUUGUAGCAAUGAAUGAAUGAAAUGAGUUUGAUUAACAUACUCUUGCUCCAAUCUUACCAAAAAUCAGAAUCCAAUAAUACAUGUGCAAUUAAAGGAUGUUAAUCUUACAAAAAUUCAGAGAUUUUCAUAAAAGAACCUGCAUUUCAUUAACCAAAUUUAAGCUUAAACAAUUGUCUAUGCAGUAUACAUCCCCAAAAACCACAUUUGUGUAUGCAGUAUACAACCAGUAGUUGUGGUAGCAAAAAAACUGAAUUUCAUCUUGCCCAAUCAGUUCAAGGUAAUCUAACACUUUUGCACAAUGUUUUUCAUCCCUAAGGAGUACUAGGCCAUCUUCUACAGAAUAAUCCUCAUCAAGAGCAUAGACUGCCCUAGGUUUAAAUUUUAUGCAUAGCUCGAAUUCAUUCAUUAUUCUUUCCAAAGUCAUAUUUCCUACUGUAUCUUCUAUUUUAGUCGAGUUCCAGCCAUCAUAUAACAAUUUACCAGUUUCUUCAUCUUUUUUCCAAUAACCCCAAAAAUUAAACACAAAGUUGACCUUUGCAUCAGACAUUCUGCACAACCAAAACACACAAAAAGAACACAAUAUAAACAUUCAAGACAUGCUAUUAAUGAUUCAUCUAAUAGAGAAAUAGUGUAGAAUAGGUUUGCAUGCUCUGGAAAAAUAAAUAUCAAUGUUAAGGCAUGACUUACCUAUUUUCGGAACUGGAUUAGUUUCGUCGUCGGAACACUCGUAUCACUUGAAGAAAUCGCCGGAACAGUCUUCUUCUCCUUCGAUUUCGUCUGCAGAUUGUGAGUUUGAAAAAUGGAAGAAAAACUCUUCGUAUCCUUAGGUAUUUACACCAACCCGCGUAAAUAGUUGGAAGGUGGGCCCCACGCGAAAAUAAAAUACAAAAAAAUUUAUUUAAGAAACGGCGUCUUUGGGCCGUCAAACGAGUGGGCUUAAGUGUAGUAUUUCUAUGGGCUAUGGGGAGUUAUUUGGGCCUGAGCCGAGUGUGGGGAGCGGAACGCUCUAGGGGUGUGGACUUCAGGGGUGAAUAUGCACUUCAACCCUUUAUUAAAUGUUCUAUUUUAUUAUUUUCCUUGUUUCUUAUUAAGUGUCCCAUUUCAAAAUUUGAGAGUAUAAUUAUGACAUUCUUCCUAUUUUAUCCUUAUUUAAUACUUGUAUGAAUAUAAUAAAUAGUUGUAUAUAUGCAUUUAUUAUGAUAAUUACUCAGGUUACAAAUGUAAAUAUCUUAUUUUAUUCGUACGUGUAUUUUAACGGCUGAGGACACUUAAUAAAAAACGGAAGGAGUAUUAAUUAGAAUCUUAAAAAGAAACUUAAUUAACCUCAACCUUAAUAAUAAGUCAACGCUUUAAUUAUUUGUCUUAAAUUUAUUACUCCAUUCCUCCCCCCUUUGAUAGUUUACGUUACUUUUCAACACAUAUUUUAUAAUAUUAUUUAUAUAUAUAUAAUUGUUCUAUUUUGCACUUAUUUAGUAUUUUACAUAUUAUCUUCACACACAUUGAAUAUUCAUAAAACUUUGUUUUAUGAAUAGCACUUCAAAUCAUUAGACAACAGUAUUUGAAAUAGUAUUAGUACUUUAUAAUGUGAAUUAAUAAAAAUACAAAGAAAAUGCAUAAAAUAACAACAAUAAUAUUAAUAAGUGGCUAAAAAUAAUUACAUAUUAUUUUCACACACAUUAAAAUAAUCAUAAUCAUGCGCAUUAUCAUAUUAUUCAAAUCUAAGGAGAAGGAAAUAUACCUUAUUAAUUUUUUGUGAAUUUCGUUCUUAUUUUGACUUUCCAGUUGAGUCCUCCCUUUCCCCUUAACUUCGUUCGUCUUGAUCUUCCCUUGUCUCGCCAGCUGAGUGUGAUCUGAAUGUAUAUUAUCAUAAUAUAUGAGAACAUAUUCUUAGUAACAUGAAUUAAAUUUAUUUAAAGGGAAAAUACCUGUUUUUCUUUCUUUUUUUCUGCAAUACGUUUUGCCUGUUAUCUAGGCUCGUCUCUAUCUUCUUGUAUGUAUCUUCCGAUUCAAUCCUCCCGCGAUGAGCUACGUCGUAAUUGAAAGGGGUUUUGAUCUCUCAAACUUCACCAUACAAACAAGAGGCCGAAAAAUGAUAACUUAAUUUUCCUUUCUAUAGCCCUCUGUGUUUGACACUAUUCUAGAUCUGUUUUCUUCUCUAGAUAGGAACCUAAUUAAUAAUUAUUCUAAACAAACAUUGCAGCUAAUUAAAUAUUACAACCAUUUGUAUAUAUUAAUUAGUCCUUAGAAAGUUGCGAU